Molecule: ribosomal RNA, 505 nt
Filed under: uncultured bacterium
Lineage: Bacteria
Description: partial 16S ribosomal RNA
Rfam family: Bacterial small subunit ribosomal RNA
Source: RNAcentral
GACUAACGCUGGCGGCGUGCCUAAUACAUGCAAGUAGAACGCACAGUUUAUACCGUAGCUUGCUACACCAUAGACUGUGAGUUGCGAACGGGUGAGUAACGCGUAGGUAACCUGCCUGGUAGCGGGGGAUAACUAUUGGAAACGAUAGCUAAUACCGCAUAAUAUUGAUUAUUGCAUGAUAAUUAAUUGAAAGGUGCAAUUGCACCACUACCAGAUGGACCUGCGUUGUAUUAGCUAGUAGGUGAGGUAACGGCUCACCUAGGCGACGAUACAUAGCCGACCUGAGAGGGUGAUCGGCCACACUGGGACUGAGACACGGCCCAGACUCCUACGGGAGGCAGCAGUAGGGAAUCUUCGGCAAUGGACGAAAGUCUGACCGAGCAACGCCGCGUGAGUGAAGAAGGUUUUCGGAUCGUAAAGCUCUGUUGUAAGAGAAGAACGGGUGUGAGAGUGGAAAGUUCACACUGUGACGGUAUCUUACCAGAAAGGGACGGCUAACUACGUG